UAAAAUAUACAUUCAAUACCGAUUGUUUUUUCUAAAAAAUUAAAAACGUUUUUUUUUUAACAUUUUAAAAAAUAAUUAAAAAUAUCUCUAAAAUUUUAAUCAAAAGAAGUCACAACUAAUUUGAGCCGAUACCAUAAUCAUUUGUUUCUUAGUAGUACUCCAUAAGCUUACAAACUAGAGUAAAUGUUUAAAUUUUGAAACAAGUUGUU
Molecule: long non-coding RNA, 209 nt
Filed under: Lathyrus oleraceus (garden pea)
Lineage: Eukaryota; Viridiplantae; Streptophyta; Magnoliopsida; Fabales; Fabaceae
Description: Pisum sativum (pea) long non-coding RNA (PSAT_LNC033396)
Source: RNAcentral